Molecule: long non-coding RNA, 994 nt
Filed under: Gossypium barbadense (sea-island cotton)
Lineage: Eukaryota; Viridiplantae; Streptophyta; Magnoliopsida; Malvales; Malvaceae
Description: long non-coding RNA (GBAR_LNC003875)
Source: RNAcentral
UCAUUAAAUGUAGAUAGUCUUGAUUAUGUUAUUAAUUAUGAAUCGGUUUUUAUACGAUGAUUAGUGAUUAAGUUCGGUAAUGCCUCGUACCCUGUUCUGGCAUCAAACAUGGGUAAGGGGUGUUACAGUUAAACCAAAACCCUAGGGUUUUUUCCCUACUUUUGCACUGCAACCAGACAACCCCCCAUGUACGGCCUCCGUGCACCUAAAGACUGACUCCGUACGCUCCAGCGCUCCAGCGCUCCAGCAGUCACGCCUCACGUCAAGCGCCACGUACCACAGCACCAAUGGGCCUCCGUACCUGCGAAGAAACAGACAGAACAACAGCAGCAACAAUAGCCAAUACGAAAACAAAAAACAAAAAAUUGUAUUUUAUUUUAAACAUUCGGCUAUAAAGCCUAUUAUUUUCGAUUGUAAAGGGGUUCUUUUUUACGAAAACAGGCAAUAUACGCAAUAGAAAAACAAUCAGAAUAGACGAAAACAGAGAAGGUGAUUUAUUCACGAUUUUCCUCCCUUAUUUCUCUCUUACUUUCUGAUUUACCCUUUUGAUCAAAUAUACUAAAAAAGAAACGAAACUUACCUGCGUUUGAUGCCUUCGAAUCCUCGUUGGUUCCACCACGAUCGAAACUAAAUGGCGAUUCGGGGUUUGUGAGCAAGACUCACAAAUCUUUCGGUUCGAUGAAGCCUCGAUUGACCCUUGUAUGAGUCAAAAGGAGAGGCAGGAGAACAGACCUUCGAAAGGCUGUUAGUCGGCGAAGGGUUGGGAGAGCAACCUAGGUUUUCUUUUUUUCUUUUUGUAAAUGGCUGCAAACUUUUUUAGGGUUUGUUUCGGUGACUAUAAGGGCCCUUUAGACGUCACCGUUUUAAGCCAAACUAAUGGUCUCAAAACGACAACGUUCAAGGAGCUACAGCCCGAUGACCCGACCCGCACAUGGUCAAAAUCCGUGUGUUUGGUCAUUGAAGGCUAUUUCCAAUAUCAGUCUUUCCCCUUUCG